RNAcentral lists this transfer RNA (77 nucleotides) under Planctomycetota bacterium. RNAcentral's name for it is "tRNA-Met". It matches the Rfam family "tRNA". From Rfam's summary of the family: Transfer RNA (tRNA) molecules are approximately 80 nucleotides in length. Their secondary structure includes four short double-helical elements and three loops (D, anti-codon, and T loops). The record is from RNAcentral. Lineage: Bacteria; Pseudomonadati; Planctomycetota. RNAcentral also lists the same sequence under 3 other names.
CGCGGGGUGGAGCAGCCUGGUAGCUCGUCGGGCUCAUAACCCGAAGGUCGGAGGUUCAAAUCCUCCCCCCGCUACCA